GUGGGUGUAGCACAUGGUGUGUAACUGCUAACAAUGAGGACCAUCUUUUGAUGUUGCCAGCAGUCACCUGGGUUCGAUUCCCGGCACCCACA
This is a non-coding RNA of Mycena maculata, 92 nucleotides long. NCBI's taxonomy places the organism in Eukaryota, Fungi, Basidiomycota, Agaricomycetes, Agaricales, Mycenaceae. The record is from the annotation of a GenBank genome assembly.